Molecule: ribosomal RNA, 451 nt
Filed under: uncultured bacterium
Lineage: Bacteria
Description: bacterial SSU rRNA
Rfam family: Bacterial small subunit ribosomal RNA
Source: RNAcentral
GGCCCCGCACAAGCAGCGGAGCGUGUGGUUUAAUUCGACGUAACACGAAGAACCUUACCGGGGUUUGACAUGUACAUGUAAUCCCGUGAAAGCGGGACCCCUCGCAAGAGGCGUGUACACAGGUGUUGCAUGGCUGUCGUCAGCUCGUGCCGUGAGGUGUUGGGUUAAGUCCCGCAACGAGCGCAACCCUCGUCGCCAGUUGCUCUCUCUGGCGAGACUGCCGAGUUUAACUCGGAGGAAGGCGGGGAUGACGUCAAGUCAGCAUGGCCCUUACAUCCCGGGCUACACACACGCUACAAUGGGCGGUACAGAGGGUUGCUAAGCCGCGAGGCGGAGCCAAUCCCACAAAACCGUCCUCAGUUCAGAUCGCAGUCUGCAACCCGACUGCGUGAAGGCGGAGUUGCUAGUAACCGCAGGUCAGCAUACUGCGGUGAAUAUGUUCCCGGGGCUU